AUUGAACGCUGGCGGCAGGCCUAACACAUGCAAGUCGAGCGGAUGAAGGGAGCUUGCUCCUGGAUUCAGCGGCGGACGGGUGAGUAAUGCCUAGGAAUCUGCCUGGUAGUGGGGGAUAACGUCCGGAAACGGGCGCUAAUACCGCAUACGUCCUGAGGGAGAAAGUGGGGGAUCUUCGGACCUCACGCUAUCAGAUGAGCCUAGGUCGGAUUAGCUAGUUGGUGGGGUAAAGGCCUACCAAGGCGACGAUCCGUAACUGGUCUGAGAGGAUGAUCAGUCACACUGGAACUGAGACACGGUCCAGACUCCUACGGGAGGCAGCAGUGGGGAAUAUUGGGCAAUGGACGAAAGCCUGAUCCAGCCAUGCCGCGUGUGUGAAGAAGGUCUUCGGAUUGUAAAGCACUUUAAGUUGGGAGGAAGGGCAGUAAGUUAAUACCUUGCUGUUUUGACGUUACCAACAGAAUAAGCACCGGCUAACUUCGUG
RNAcentral lists this ribosomal RNA (484 nucleotides) under uncultured bacterium. Its description in RNAcentral is "partial 16S ribosomal RNA". It matches the Rfam family "Bacterial small subunit ribosomal RNA", at positions 30 to 507 of the family's 1533-position model. The record is from RNAcentral.